GCCAGCCCGCUCAGAAACUCAAAGGAAUUGACGGGGCCGCACAAGCGGUGGAGCAUGUGGUUUAAUCGAUGAUACGCGAGGAACCUUACCUGGGCUCAAAUGUAUGUUGACGUAUUCUGAAAGGGAUACUUCUUCGGACAAUAUACAAGGUGCUGCAUGGUUGUCGUCAGCUCGUGCCGUGAGGUGUCGGGUUAAGUCCCAUAACGAGCGCAACCCCUAUCAUUAGUUGCCAUCAGGUCAAGCUGGGGACUCUAAUGAAACUGCCUACGCAAGUAGUGAGGAAGGUGGGGAUGACGUCAAAUCAGCACGGCCCUUACGUCCAGGGCUACACACGUGCUACAAUGGCCGGUACAAAGGGCAGCUACCUGGUGACAGGAUGCUAAUCUCAAAAGCCGGUCUCAGUUCGGAUCGGAGUCUGCAACCCGACUCCGUGAAGCUGGAAUCGCUAGUAAUCGCGCAUCAGCCAUGGCGCGGUGAAUACGUUCCCGGGCCUU
RNAcentral lists this ribosomal RNA (494 nucleotides) under uncultured Sphingobacteriales bacterium. RNAcentral describes it as "bacterial SSU rRNA". It matches the Rfam family "Bacterial small subunit ribosomal RNA", at positions 885 to 1382 of the family's 1533-position model. Lineage: Bacteria; Pseudomonadati; Bacteroidota; Sphingobacteriia; Sphingobacteriales. The record is from RNAcentral.